UUAAAACACAGAUGUGCAUUGUGAUCGUC
Molecule: non-coding RNA, 29 nt
Filed under: Homo sapiens (human)
Lineage: Eukaryota; Metazoa; Chordata; Mammalia; Primates; Hominidae
Source: RNAcentral